UACGAAGGGGGCUAGCGUUGUUCGGAAUUACUGGGCGUAAAGCGCACGUAGGCGGAUGUCUAAGUCGGAGGUGAAAGCCUUGGGCUCAACCCAAGAAUUGCCUUCGAUACUGGAUGUCUUGAGACCGGGAGAGGUGAGUGGAAUUCCGAGUGUAGAGGUGAAAUUCGUAGAUAUUCGGAAGAACACCAGUGGCGAAGGCGGCUCACUGGCCCGGUUCUGACGCUGAGGUGCGAAAGCGUGGGGAGCAAACAGG
RNAcentral lists this ribosomal RNA (253 nucleotides) under uncultured bacterium. RNAcentral describes it as "partial 16S ribosomal RNA". It matches the Rfam family "Bacterial small subunit ribosomal RNA", at positions 524 to 776 of the family's 1533-position model. The record is from RNAcentral.